This 73-nucleotide transfer RNA is filed under the name Penicillium arizonense. It matches the Rfam family "tRNA". Rfam says of the family: Transfer RNA (tRNA) molecules are approximately 80 nucleotides in length. Their secondary structure includes four short double-helical elements and three loops (D, anti-codon, and T loops). Lineage: Eukaryota; Fungi; Ascomycota; Eurotiomycetes; Eurotiales; Aspergillaceae. The record is from Rfam by way of RNAcentral.
GGCUUAGUGGCGCAGUGGUUAACGCAUCGCACUUGUAAUGCGGAGAUCCCGAGUUCAACUCUCGGCUGAGCCU